Molecule: long non-coding RNA, 362 nt
Organism: Herpailurus yagouaroundi (jaguarundi)
Lineage: Eukaryota; Metazoa; Chordata; Mammalia; Carnivora; Felidae
Exons: 3
Source: RefSeq, a predicted model, not a curated record
GGGAUCUUCCUCCGGGUCUCCUGCAAACACUAGAGGAGCAGUGGGUUGCUUCUUUGGUUCCCUGGGUCCAUCCUUGUGCUUUAACAAAAUCACCUUUUUGUAUGGAAGAUGUCUCAAGAACUCUUUCCUGGGCAUCAGCUCUGGACCGCCACCACCACUCCAAAACCACAGAAGCUAGGAAUGUGUGAUAUUGUGAUUUAUAAUAAGACAUAUAUAUUUAGUCUCUGGUUACAGGGGAACCGCCUAUUCCCUUGUGGCCUGAGGACCACUCAGACCUCACUAUCUGCUCCUGGGGAUUCGCCCUUCCCACCAGAGCACCACUAGGAAGACACAUCCCAUGAUCUCCUUAUUUGCUGCAAAUA